Molecule: ribosomal RNA, 726 nt
Filed under: Lecanora mughicola
Lineage: Eukaryota; Fungi; Ascomycota; Lecanoromycetes; Lecanorales; Lecanoraceae
Description: SSU rRNA
Rfam family: Bacterial small subunit ribosomal RNA
Source: RNAcentral
GAGGAAUGUAUAGCAAUAGCUAAUUGCAUCAAUAAUUGAUGCAAUAUCGACUCUGUCGAAUAAAAUUCUAGGUAGAAUUAUGAUAAUGACAUUGUCUGCCUAUGUGUCUUGACCAAAUUACGUGCCAGCAGUCGCGGUAAUACGUAGGAGACUAGUGUUAUUCAUCUUUAAUAGGUUUAAAGGGUACCUAGACGGUAAAUCAAGCCUGCAUUAAGGGACUAAUGUACUAGAGUUACUUACGAGGGGGCAUUGAAGUACUAAUGGUGUAGAGAUGAAAUUCGGUCAUACCUUUAUUGUGGCGGAUACUAUGGCACUGGUAUAGGCGAAGGCGUCCCCUUAUGUGAUAACUGACGUUGAAGGACGAAGGCUUUGUGUAGCGAACAGGAUUAGAUACCCCAGUAGUCAAAGCAGAAAAUGAUGAAUGUCAUAGAUUAGACAUCUAAUAGUUUAUUCUAUAAAUGAAAGUGUAAGCAUUCCACCUCAAGAGUAAUUUGGCAACAUUGGAACUGAAAUCAUUAGACCGUUUCUGAAACCAGUAGUGAAGUAUGUUGUUUAAUUUGAUAGUCCGCAAAAAACCUUACCACAAUUUGAAUAUUUACAUUUUUAUUCCCUAUUUAUAGGGAAGAGAAAUAUAUUUACAAGCGUUGCACGGCUGUCUACAGUUAAUGUCGUGAGAUUCUGGUUAGUUCCAUUAAAUAACGUAAACCCUUACUUUAUUUNUUAUAU